UACGUAGGGGGCAAGCGUUACCCGGAUUCACUGGGCGUAAAGCGGGUGUAGGCGGCUCGGUAAGUCGGGGGUGAAAUCCCACGGCUCAACCGUGGAAUUGGGCCCGAAACUGCUGAGCUUGGGGCCGGUAGAGGGAGACGGACUUGCCGGUGUACGGGUGAAAUCCGUAGAUAGCGCCAGGAACGCCGGUGGGGAAGCCGGUCUCCUGGGCCGCGCCCGACGCUGAGGCCCGAAAGCUAGGGGAGCAAACCGG
This 253-nucleotide ribosomal RNA is filed under the name uncultured bacterium. RNAcentral describes it as "partial 16S ribosomal RNA". It matches the Rfam family "Bacterial small subunit ribosomal RNA", at positions 524 to 776 of the family's 1533-position model. The record is from RNAcentral.